Molecule: long non-coding RNA, 1263 nt
Filed under: Nicotiana tabacum (common tobacco)
Lineage: Eukaryota; Viridiplantae; Streptophyta; Magnoliopsida; Solanales; Solanaceae
Description: long non-coding RNA (NTAB_LNC014260)
Source: RNAcentral
UAGUUUCGAGUUAUCUAUAACUUCGUUGAUCAAACAAUCAUUAUUACACUCUCAAAAAUCAACAACUCUAUCAAUUAGUAACAUUUUACUAAUGAAGGAUCCAAAAUUAAAGCGAUGUUUCUUAAUAGUCAUAAAAAAUUACAAACACUAAUGAAGAGAGGAAGGGAAUGAUCAUUAUUCUUAGCUCAAGAAUCUUCCACAAGGAAAAUUGACAAGGGAGAGGCAAUUUACUUGCAGCAACAUUACAUAUUUAGACAAAGCGGCCGGACCGGGCUCGACGAUAUCGGAAUUAAUUGAUUCUAUGAUCUACUUAAUAGUAGAGAGAGGAGACUCUUUCAAACCUUAUCGAUCGGGCCGAACACGCAUAGGUGAAUAGUGGCGAGCAGAUACAGAACUAGACCUCCUUAGAACAAACAUGCCUGAAAAUCGAACCAUUGAAUUCAGAAUCCAAACUAAGUCCCCCAACACAUAAGCCAAUUCCUCGUAUAUGCUCAUGCUUUUCCUUAACAUUACACGCAUCACUACUGUCAUUGCAUCUCGAAAUCUAAUCAUUUUAAUGCUUUCUCUGAGAUGUGUGGAGAAAGUCACACGAGUUAUCAGUGUUCAAUGAAUUCCGAGUCUAUCUAUUAUAUGGGGCAACAAAACAAAGGCCAGAUGACCUAGAACUUCUUUCUUUCUUCCUUCUUCUUUCUUUCUUUUAAAUCUUUGAAUGAAUGAAAAUAAUAUGUGAACACUUGUGCACUAGUAUCAAUUAUUUGACAUUAAUUAUUAGUAUAAUAAAACUCUAAAGAAAGAAAGAAGUACUAAAGGGCAUGGUAGACUUACUUAAAUACCCUUUUUCUUUAACUUAUCAAAGCUUCUCACUACUUGUGAAAAAUUAAUGUAGAAGUUGAAGAAAAUGAUGAAUUCUAGUGCUUUAUUUAAAGAAAAGCAACCAUUUCCUUGCAGCUUGUUUUCUUGGAAUCUCAGCUCCAAAACUGCAAAGAAAACAUUGUUAGAACUGAUCAAAAGGGGUUUUCUAUAAAUCAGAUUAAAAAAGCUGAAGAUUGAAUUUUUACUUUAGUUUUUACCAAGGUGCUUUUGAUAGAGCCAUGUUGUAAAUCCAUAUUUAUUCACAUUAAUUAAGCUGCGCUAUUUGGCUAUCCUUUUUCUUUCUUUGUUCUUUUUGUAAAUGUGAGAUAAAGGGGCAAAAAUGUCAAAAGAAUCAAAGGAUGUCUGACAGGUAUGAGAAAAUUAAGAAAUGAGCACAUAAUGAAAUCAUUC